CAUUCCCCAUUCAAAAGUUUACCACAACGCACAGCUCCCUCCUGUCAACGAUCAGAGGUUUCUAAACAAAACAAACAAAACGUCCAGCUGACGGCGUCUUUAAAAGUGAUCGAUCCGAGCGGCUCCAAAACACUUCACAGCGUUCGUGCGUCCCGGCGAUCCCCCAGCAUCAGAGAACCGGAGCUGUACGGCGGCGCGGCGGCACCAUGGAGGAGCAGGAGGAGGAGGAGAUGUUAGAGCCGCUCUGCUAAUCUCCGACCGAGCCGCUGAGCGUAACAGGCAGCGGAAGCGGCGCUUUUCUCCGGCUUAACUACAGGUUGAUAAAACCGCUCGGCGAUCCACGCAGCGCCACAAAGUCAGCUAUCCGAAACUGUUUCCAACACGCCGGACAUGCCUCCCUCUCCAAGCCUGUCUUCCUCCAGCGACAAUGGGGAGGGGGAGAGAAAGAAAAACCCACACUGCUUCUUCCCUCAGUUACAACCGGUCCGGAGCUCACCCCACAUGAAAAAAAAAAAAAUGAAGAAGAAAGAAAAAAAAAAAGCAUGUUUGAAUUUCUGGACUCACCUCAGUCCGGGACAAGAGGAUCGCAUUGGAGAGGGACGCGCAGAGACAGGACGCUGGUAUCCAACAGGGGUCUCUGCCUCUCCUCGCUUCAAGUCACUCCUAGGGGGCGGGGCCGAGAGGGAGGAGGAGGAGGAGACCCAGGAGCGGCUGCAGCUACACGGGACAGGAGCGCGCCUAGAGGGGAUUAUCACCAGAGAACCCCGGCAAGAAGAAUGGACACAAAGAAUUUCCUUUCUCAACCCAAAUGCAUCUAGGGGGUUAAGAAACUACUAUGAUCACAAAAAUGCGUUCAUACUAACAAUGAACCCCCCCCCCCCCACCUCGCUUUUUUUAUUAACUUUAGACCAGGGAUGGCUUAAUUUUUACAAAAUGCCACAGGCACGUUUUCACUAAGAUAUCCGGAAAAGUUUCACCCACCUGGAACGUUUUUAGUGAAUGUUUUGGGCCUGCAGUCGGUGCUGACCGCAGCUUUCACAGCGCUGGUUUGUCUGGGAAAGAGGCUGCUCUUUUUUUGCCCUAAUCUUGUGAUUUUCUUUUCCCAGCAUUUGCACUGAAACUUAAAGUCAGAUUGAGUUUGUGAAAUUCACAGAUAUUUGAUAAAAAAAAAAAAAAA
This is a long non-coding RNA of Fundulus heteroclitus (mummichog), 1177 nucleotides long. RefSeq lists it as uncharacterized. The record is from RefSeq and is a predicted model, not a curated record. The transcript is spliced from 2 exons. NCBI's taxonomy places the organism in Eukaryota, Metazoa, Chordata, Actinopteri, Cyprinodontiformes, Fundulidae.